UCCUACGGGUGGCAGCAGUAGGGAAUAUUAGUAAUGGGCGAAAGCCUGAACUAGCAACGCCGCGUGUGCGAAGAAGGCCUUCGGGUUGUAAAGCACUUUUUGAGAGGAUGAGGAAGGACGGUACUCUCAGAAUAAGUCUCGGCUAACUACGUGCCAGCAGCCGCGGUAACACGUAGGAGGCGAACGUUAUCCGGAUUUACUGGGCGUAAAGCGCGUGUAGGUGGUUUGGUAAGUAGGGCGUGAAAGCUCCUGGCUCAACUGGGAGAGGCCGUUCUAAACUGCCGAACUAGAGGAUGGUAGAGGGAGGUGGAAUUCCGGGUGUAGCGGUGGAAUGCGCAGAUAUCCGGAGGAACACCAGUGGCGAAAGCGGCCUCCUGGACCAUUCCUGACACUCAGACGCGAAAGCUAGGGUAGCAAACGGGAUUAGAUACCCGAGUAGUC
This 441-nucleotide ribosomal RNA is filed under the name uncultured bacterium. RNAcentral's name for it is "bacterial SSU rRNA". It matches the Rfam family "Bacterial small subunit ribosomal RNA", at positions 337 to 795 of the family's 1533-position model. The record is from RNAcentral.